Megachile rotundata (alfalfa leafcutting bee) is the source of this 6004-nucleotide long non-coding RNA. NCBI's taxonomy places the organism in Eukaryota, Metazoa, Arthropoda, Insecta, Hymenoptera, Megachilidae. The record is from RefSeq and is a predicted model, not a curated record.
AUAGGCGACCUCUCUCCAUGCUUCUGACAGCAUUUUAACAUCGUGUAUACCACAUUGUUACAGGUUUUUUUAUACUACAAAGUCUUUUAAGUAACUGGAAUUUUAUUCGGUAUUGUAUGAUUUUGUGUGGGUGUAACUGAAAUUUUUGUUGGGCUGGGUCAGGUCCACUAACUUAAUAGUGUCAACCCCUCGCAUUCAAGGGCUUUGGAAAAUGUUAAGAUUUAAAAAUUUGAAAUCUAGAUUUUGGAAAUUUGAAAAUGUAGAAACUUGAAAAUUCAUAAGUUCGAAUAUUGAAAGUUUGUAAACUUGAAAAUCUAAAUAUUUAAAAAUUCGAAAUUUCUCUGUUGCCAAUGUGCUAUUAAAAGCCCGUGAAAAAGAUUUGCUCAAUCGGCAAUAUAGCAACUAUCUACUAUAAUAGCUUAUAGACAUUGUAUUCUACAGUGGGCACUUGCUUCCUACUUAUUACCAUUGCUCUCCUAUUUCACAUAUACUCAGUGAUCAAAAUAUACGAAUAUCGAGAAAAGAUAAUGAUGCAGAAAGCAUACAAAACGAAAGACCACUAUAUAUCCAUACUUGGCAUUAGAAAUGCACAAUACGUAUGCGCAUUGUCCUUAGUUGCAUGAUCCAACCAAUCAGAGUUAGCAUGCGCAGAACGAAUCAAAAUUCAUCCGACGAGUAUGAUCUCUCGUGAAACUUAUAAUGGCAGUGGUAUUCAACUUUAAAAUUUAAUUCUUACAGAGCGACUCAUUAUAAAUACUAAGAAAUUUCGAAACAUAUUAAUUUUUUUUCUGUAUAGAAAUAUGAUAAUUAUUUUGUAUAUAGUCAAUUCAAUAUUAUAAUGUCUCGAUUGAAUUAUUUACAUGUAAAAAUCACAUAACUUUACUGUUGAUAUUCAAUGGAUUUCAAUGCGAAUACGAUGACAAGAGGAAAGGGCAUUUGGAAUGUUUGCAAACUGUUUGACUGAAAGGUUUUAGUCGCUUGCGAUAAAACUCGUUCACAUCGCUGACACAUCUGUACAUUGUACAAAUUGUAUAGACAGAUACUACAUAGUUUUUUUUUAGCUACAAAAAAAUGUAGGGUCAGAAAUUUCUAGGGAAUUUCUAAGGAAAUUUUAGGACAGUUCUUGACAGACUCUAGAUAGGUAGGUUAUGAGAGAACAGGACCUAGGAAUAUUCUAGGAAGAUUCUGAAGAGAGCCUAGGACUUUUGCUUAUUGUUAGUUCAUUCGUAAAUCGUUAUUAUGUACAUAGCCGCAUUUACAGAACGAUUCAUUAGUCAUAAUAAAAAGGUUUUUCUUUCGUUGUUGUUGCUGUUGCUUUUCUUUUUAAAUAACUAUUUUUAUUCGUAAUAUCUAAAUGUAAAUCUGUGUAUAAAUUAUUAUUAUGCGCACGGUACUCACGUUACGUGACUUUAUUAUCCCUCUUAUUUUUUUUUGUUCUUGUAUUUUCUUUUUUUACUCUAACGUCAAUGACGCAAUGACUGUAACCAUGAUUGUUCGCAGGUUUCUUACGACGGUACAAAACUAUCCUACCUAUGUACAAAAUGUACGAAACGUGCAAAGCGAACGAAACACCGAGUGGACCGUUUUGUGUCAUGCUAUUCGAUCACGUGCGUCGUUCGAUAAGUAGCCGACAGCUAUUGCUCCUCGUAUUCUCGCAUUAUUCCCGCGUGCAUUCUUUGCUCCGUUAAUUUGAAAUACUUUCAAUUAUAAAUUUCGUAAUGGGCAGAGAUGGUUACGUAAAUAUAUAAAACUGCAAUACUACUGUAUGAGUUGAUAUGUUUUCCUAGGAAGAGUGGAGGUGAAAGGAAAACUUUGUAAUUUUCUUGCUUAUAGAUAGCUAAUUUUCCAAUUUACAAACUUUCAAAUUUGAAGAAUUUGUCAUUUGGUAAAGUAAAGAUUUGCAGCUUUAGAAAUUUGAGAGUUUAGAAACUUUGGAAUGGUUGAGGUACGAGGACAGCGCUUGUCUAAUUAGCUGCUCGAUAAAUAACCGAUUUUUGGGGAAGCCUCGAAUUCGAUUACUUAUAGAACGACGUCUGUAUGUUUGCCUGUACGAUACUAUAAUACAACGUUUCGACAAUCGUUAUGUUAAUUGUUGUAAUUCUAUCGGCAAUACGUACAAACAGUUUCUUUAGCAUACAAACAGCUAUGUAUAUAAAAUCCCUUCAUGCCGAAAGGGUGAGCAAGUAUCCGUUAUUAAAUAUCGCGUAACACGUACGCGAGACACACGCAAACGUUUUUUUUUUUCACAGUCAUAAAAACAUUUCAUUUAUGGAAUAUACAAAACGACCUAUAUUACAAACCACCCGCUUAGAAAAAUAGAAGUAUUUUGCUUUGUUAGGUUUAACGUGUGCGAAAUCGAUAAAAACUUUGAUCCUCGUGUUCCCAAUCGAAACGGUCUGUUAAAACAUUAUAAACGCUCGUAGACAUCCCCUAACUAAUCAACAACGAUUUUAACAACGCCGGCGACGAGGUUAAACAAUUCGAUUAACAAUUUAGCACUACAGAGAUUCGCGGUUUAAAUACAAAAACGCUCUAGUUUAUUCCGUAUGUAUUGUCACGUCCGAGUCCUCCCCCUCCUUUUUCUCUCACCAAUGUUUGAUAAUCAGCCAGUAAUACUGCGCAGUUUUAAAAUAUAAUAAUAGAUCUGCAUAAAGUACGGGGCGUGGCAUGAAGUGCGUAGCAUACGGGGGUACCAUAUGACUACCAUAUGAUUUGGGAAUUUAGGGAUUCAGAAAUUCGGCUAUUUUGCAAGUAACUAAUCAAGCAAUUGGGUUUCGCCCAAGAAACACAAGAACGUUACUUGCCAAGCCGCUCAUCUGGCCUGUUGCCAGUAUUCAAGAGCAUGAACAUAGCUUACCAAGCCACUUGCGGACUAGCUACUUGCCUAAUUUGAAUGGGUUACAAGUCUGGACUAUUGACACGUCUCACUGGAGUUUACAAACACAGGUCAAAUCAAUGUCAAUGUUCAAAGAGGUCUCUAAGGGCUAUACCUGUUACUUUGGAUGCGAAUGGCUUAAAAACCACAUGCUUCUAUUUAUGAAAAAAGGAAGACUAUUCUAGAUUCUAGAAUCUAGAUAAUUUUUACAUCAAAAAGAAAAAAAGAAAGAUUGAACAGCAGACUCGGACGUGGCAUCAUAACGUAAAGAUGUCCAAGGAAGCUUCUGGUUUCAUUCCGUGGUCAUUUUGUGACCACUGGAGAAUAUGUACCAUAGACAAGGUAUAAGAUGGAGUGCUACUACUGAUACUUGAUCUCUAAGAGUUUCCGUAUAACGUGUUAUAACUAUUGAACACGGGUACAAUUUGGAGCAGAGUGGACAGAGCUUUCUUGGACAUCUCUGAUACAACGCAUGUUUAACGACGCGAUAUGUCGAUAAUCACAGAUUCGACAUUGCCGACCGUGUUACAAAAAUGAAACGCGACCCCUUUGUUUAUCGUCAAUGCGAAUUCGUUGGCGGUUGUUGCGUACACUGUCAAGAACAGUGAUAAACAGAUGCCCGCUGAAGAGCGGCGAGCAUUUGCGUACAGCGCACGGGCAGCGAUAAUGUGUACGAGAAAUAAAACGAUAUUGAUUUUAUCUCCCCACUUUUGGCAACUAGACGACUACAGCAGACUAUUACAAUAGACUCUCGUUAUAUUGCCAUUUGCCUUUACAUGGACUUUCAUGUACACUAGUGUAGGUGAAAGUAUCCGUGGUAAUAUAACGCAAGUCAACUUUCAUCGAUGCUCCUUGAGUGCACGCAGCGCCCUCUUACAACUGUCUAUCACUAUUCUAAAACAUCUUACGUAGACGUUAAAGGCACAUCUGUUACUCGCAAGGCACGGAUGACGCUUCUUAUCGCUUUCAUGAAACCGAAAACUCUAAUGUCCUCGACAAUAUGAGUUUUCUUUGCUAUGCGUGACUCCGCGAUGCUUACGACAUAAUCGACAUAAAAGCCAGUCAGUGAUUAGUUAAUACGUAUCCCUCUUUUGUCCUAACUGAGUGGCUUUUGAGUCGAAUAUAUCGGACAGAUAACGUAUUUUAUGUACAAUGCUGAAUUACGGUUAGUUGUGUGUACCACUGCCAGAUAAAGAACCAUCGAAUUUGUUUAUUGACACUUUCCAAAGUUCGCGAGGAGCAUACUUUCAAAACGAAUUGGCAACGCUACAAUUCUAUAAAAUAAUAUAUUUAACAAAUGCUAUCAGUAAAAAAUUGAUAAAAGAUACAUAUAUACUUUUUUGGGGAAAAAAGAAGCAACUGUUCUUAAGGUGGUUGUAUCGCGACAACUAAGUUGGAAAGUUAGGACCUGAAUUGGAUUGUAAAGUACACAAUUUUUAAUAUAAAAUAGGUGAAAAUAUUUAUCUUUUUUCUAUCAUUUGAUACAAGCCAUUGAAGAGAAGCGUACAUGUUAUUUACAUUCAUUAACAGUUAAAUUUCAAAGAGCUUUUAUAAUAAAAUCUGUGAUACAACCACUUUAAGCUUCAAUUUCCAGAGUGAAAUAUUCUAUUUGCCUAAAGAUAUACAACUCGAUUCUCGCAUAACCUAAUUAUUUUCUCAUCACCGAAUAGUUUUGCGAAAUUAAACUCUCAUUGUAGACUGGUAAAUUUAAAAUCCUGUUUCUGUGGCGUUUAUGUAACUCAUGAUUGUGUGACAUGAAAAUAUGUGGGCAGUUCUAUUCACUCGCUCCAAUUAAGGUCACGAGUACAGCUGUAAUAAACCAUGAAUUUUCUAACACCUGAGGACCCUAACCGAAAGAAAAAACAGAGAAUCAAAGAUCUUUUAAAAUUACGUAACGAGAUAACGGUCAGUGGCAUUGUUACGUAAUCCUACUCCAAGACACACCGUUAGCUCCUCUUAUAUAAUUCCCUGUUUUUAUAUAAUCUUUGAGCGGCGCACGAGCGAUGACAGCAAAAACAUUUUGCGGUUCGCUAUCGUCUUGUGCAGCAUACUUGAAAAUUAUAUAAAUCGAAAAAUAUUUUUAACAAUAUCUAAUAGUGUCGAUGGUUGGAGGUUAGGAAGGGGGAGGAGAAUCGAUCAGGCAAUUUCACUCGGACCCCAAGUAGGUGAGAGUAGUUUUUACUUGUAGACAGAAAUGUUGCGGAAGGCCUCGCAAUUUCACCACGGUCAGUAAGAAAACAAUCAUUACUCGAUUACGAAUAUUGCAUCGUAACACGGGCCAAGAUUACCACGGUCGGUAAUGUAACUGUUGCAUCUUUAAAACAAAGUUUUUGUACACUCGGUUGCAACAUAGGCUUCCUUCGGAUAAGGAAGAGUGUAAAGGAAGGAGUGUUACCACUUGUUUGCUAAUUGAUUUGGCAGAUCAAACAUCGACGCUGUAUAAAAUCUGCAUUUAUAGAUGAACUACUUUAAGAAGUUCUAAUUAAUAAACAUGUCACAUAUGUACAUAAUAAAUGCAAUACAAAAGGUAUUUAUUUAAUAUGAUACAAAGUACCAUUCACUCUUCAAAUCUAUUUCUAUUGAAAACAGUGAAUGUGUACGUAAUUCAACAACAUUCCUAAAUUAAAAAAAUUGAUUUCGUUCACUCAGCGAACCUUCGUUCGCAGUUUGCGGCGAACGAAUUAAAACGAUUGGUAGUUCCUCGAUCCCUUACACCGCCACUUUCCCUAGCAAAACCCAGGAUGCUUCCCAGUAUAUCGAUACAAAGUUAUCGGAGGAGAAACGGAUGCAUUCAGUCUAUCGUUCAUCAUGGCAAUGCAAAGACGUAUGUUAUUGUACCAUAUUCGUAACAGCGGCUUGCCGACUCGAUGGAACCGAUUUAUCGGUAGAGGCAGGUGUACGCACAGCGAACCGAAGAGACACGUCACGGUUACUUGAAUCGCGACAACAGGAAUCCGUGACAUUGAGUCGCGACAUCCGGGUGUACCUUGGGUACAUUCUAUACGUACGUACGUAAAAUGUACAUACUGUAUGUUCUUACAGUGGAAGCGGAUGGUCGGUGAAUGUUCGCAUUCCGCAGUGAAAGCGUAUUUCCGUUACUGGUCGUUAGCGAGCCGAAGGUUGACAAAA